GGUUAAGCGACUAAGCGUACACGGUGGAUGCCCUGGCAGUCAGAGGCGAUGAAGGACGUGCUAAUCUGCGAUAAGCGUCGGUAAGGUGAUAUGAACCGUUAUAACCGGCGAUUUCCGAAUGGGGAAACCCAGUGUGAUUCGUCAC
RNAcentral lists this ribosomal RNA (145 nucleotides) under Escherichia coli. Its description in RNAcentral is "partial 23S ribosomal RNA". It matches the Rfam family "Bacterial large subunit ribosomal RNA", at positions 1 to 146 of the family's 2925-position model. RNAcentral also lists the same sequence under 1 other name. The record is from RNAcentral. Lineage: Bacteria; Pseudomonadati; Pseudomonadota; Gammaproteobacteria; Enterobacterales; Enterobacteriaceae.